Molecule: long non-coding RNA, 1605 nt
Filed under: Zea mays
Lineage: Eukaryota; Viridiplantae; Streptophyta; Magnoliopsida; Poales; Poaceae
Description: long non-coding RNA (ZMAY_LNC001099)
Source: RNAcentral
UUGAUUUAUGUGAGACUUCUCGAACUUUUAUAAUAGCAAAUAACUCCUCCGUUGGUAGUUGAGCAUGCCAUAUUUUGUGUAAAGUUUCGACGGCCCACAAACUUGGGCCCGUUCCAGUUGGAAUUAAUUUUGCUCUUCUUUUCCCCAGUCACCGACUAAACGAAUGAGGAAAAAAACUCCCACGGCCUUCUUCUCCCUCGUGCCCUUAUUCUUUCCCGGCAGCGACGACUAGGCGAGCGGCGGGACCCGGUUGCUAGGUAUUUUCCGGUGACGAGCAUCCUUACUUUUCCUUUCUGUUGUCCGAAAUGGAGCACACCAAAACUCUUAUGGGGUGUUUGGUUUGAGGAAUCAUUCCAUUCAAAUUGAGGCCUUGUUCGGUUACAUGGGAUAUAAUCCCAUCAUGGAUUUAAUCCGAGUAUGGAUUGGGUGAAUCCAUAUCUCACACCCAAUCUCAUGGUGGGAUUAAAUCCAUCAACAAAUCCAUGUGACUUUCAAAGCUAGUUAUUCUUUUGAUCCAUGGAUUCUAAUGUAAACUUGUGCAAUAUCUCAUGGAUUUGUUCCAUACCUAAUGGGCUAUGGAUAGAAUCCAUGUCUUCCAUAGUUUAAAAAAUUCCCAAACCUUUGGGUUAUAUUCCAUGAUGGGUUUAACCGAAUAAAAAAAAUUAAGUAGUCAUGGAUUAUUUUAGAGCAUGGAUUGAGGCAUGGAUUUAAUUCCAAUCCAUGCUAAUCUAGAGCGGGAUUGGUGUAAACGAACAAAGUCUGAGGUGGUGCAUCAUGGGUUCAUUCCUCAAAUUUGGUGGGAUGAACUCAUUCCUCAUAUUAGUACUAACUAACUAACUAUGAGGAAUGAGGUGAUGAUGGAUCAACUCAUUCCAUUCCACAAACCAAACAAAAUUAGUGAGGAGUGAGAAGAUGAUGGACUAACUCAUUCCUCAAACCAAACACCCUAUUAGUAAGUUAAUUCGAUCCGAAUUCAUGCUAUUGUGUAUCGGCCCCAGCUCAUGUGUCAUAUCCACGAAUUGUGUAUUUUGCAGGUUGGCCAGAACGCAGGGUGUGGGGAAUUGGUGAGCGACUGCAGCCAUGUCUGUGGCCACCGGCGUGAGCGACGCGGCCAUCGCAGUGCGCGAUAAGCUCUGUGGCAAGAUUGGCGAGACCAAGGUGAAGCGGUACUGGCCAGAAAAGCCGUCUGAGUGGGCCAACUAGAGAUGACAAUGGGUACCCGCGACUCGAUACCUGAUGUAUAUUUACUCCAUUAGGGUAUGUAUGUAGACUAAAUAUUCUACCCGUGAGUCUGUUAUUGGGUAAAAAUCUUCACUCAAUGGGUAAACGAGUAUUAGAACGUUCGCCUUCACCCAUACCCGUUAACUCGUGGGUAUAAAAUACCCAAUAUAAACUUAGCCCAAGCAUGAACUUGGACUUUAGUCAUCCAUCUUUUUUACUAUUUAACAAACUGUAAUGUCAUAGAAGCCUUAACGACAAUUUAAUGACCAUGUAAUGGAACAUGUAAUGUGCUAUGUAGUACUAUCCUAGUGUUACUAUUUUAUCCAAUUACCUUUGGUGUGCUGAAUGGAUGGUUAAAUGAUGCUAGAAAAUUUUGCAAUGGUA